This 279-nucleotide ribosomal RNA is filed under the name uncultured bacterium. RNAcentral's name for it is "partial 16S ribosomal RNA". It matches the Rfam family "Bacterial small subunit ribosomal RNA", at positions 506 to 784 of the family's 1533-position model. The record is from RNAcentral.
UGCCAGCAGCCGCGGUAAUACGGGGGGGGCGAGCGUUAUUCGGAAUUAUUGGGCGUAAAGGGCACGUAGGCGGCCUGUCAAGUCAAAGGUGAAAUCCCUCGGCUCAACCGAGGAACUGCCCUUGAUACUGUCAGGCUUGAGGCCGGGAGGGGGUGGCGGAAUUCCCAGUGUAGCGGUGAAAUGCGUAGAUAUUGGGAGGAACACCAGUGGCGAAGGCGGCCACCUGGACGGUGACUGACGCUCAGACCCGAAAGCGUGGGGAGCAAACAGGAUUAGAUA